RNAcentral lists this ribosomal RNA (508 nucleotides) under uncultured bacterium. Its description in RNAcentral is "bacterial SSU rRNA". It matches the Rfam family "Bacterial small subunit ribosomal RNA", at positions 8 to 526 of the family's 1533-position model. The record is from RNAcentral.
AGAGUUUGAUCCUGGCUCAGGAUGAACGCUGGCGGCGUGCCUAAUACAUGCAAGUCGAACGAGGUGCUUUUGUAGCAAUACGAGAGUAUCCUAGUGGCGAACGGGUGAGUAACGCGUUGGUGACCUACCCCAAAGUGUGGGAUAACAGUCCGAAAGGAUUGCUAAUACCGCAUGUGGUUAUUGGAUUUAGAAACCGGUAACUAAAGGAGCAAUUCGCUUUGGGAGGGACCUGCGUCCCAUCAGCUAGUUGGUGAGGUAAUGGCUCACCAAGGCGACGACGGGUAGGGGACCUGAGAGGGUGACCCCCCACAAUGGAACUGAAACACGGUCCAUACACCUACGGGUGGCAGCAGUAGGGAAUAUUGCUCAAUGGGCGAAAGCCUGAAGCAGCAACGCCGCGUGUGUGAUGAAGGCCUUCGGGUCGUAAAGCACUUUUCUGGGAGAUGAGAAAGGACAGUAUCCCAGGAAUAAGUCUCGGCUAACUACGUGCCAGCCGCCGCGGUAAUAC